Molecule: ribosomal RNA, 482 nt
Filed under: uncultured bacterium
Lineage: Bacteria
Description: bacterial SSU rRNA
Rfam family: Bacterial small subunit ribosomal RNA
Source: RNAcentral
AAUCAACGCUGGCGGCGUGCCUCAGACAUGCAAGUCGAACGCGAAAGUUCCCUUCGGGGGGCGAGUAGAGUGGCGCACGGGUGAGUAACACGUAGGUAAUCUACCUUUGGGUGGGGAAUAACAGCCGGAAACGGCUGCUAAUACCGCAUAAUGCAGCGGCUCGACAUCGAGACAGUUGUUAAAGCGGGGGAUCGCAAGACCUCGCGCCUAAAGAGGAGCCUGCGGCGGAUUAGCUUGUUGGUGAGGUAAUGGCUCACCAAGGCAUCGAUCCGUAGCCGGCCUGAGAGGGCGGUCGGCCACACUGACACUGACAUACGGGUCAGACUCCUACGGGAGGCGGCAGUCGGGAAUUUUGGGCAAUGGGCGCAAGCCUGACCCAGCAACGCCGCGUGAAGGAUGAAAUCCCUCGGGAUGUAAACUUCGCAAGAACAGGAAGAAUAAGUGGGGACAAGUACCCCCAUGAUGACGGUACUGUUUGUAAG